GAUGAAGAAUGUAGCGAAAUGCGAUAAGUAAUGCGAAUUGCAGAAUUCAGUGAAUCAUCGAAUCUUUGAACGCACAUUGCGCCCGCCAGUAUUCUGGCGGGCAUGCCUGUCUGAGCGUCGUUUCGACCCUCGCGCCCGGCUUCUGUCGGGGGCGGUGUUGGGGAUCGGCCACACCCUUCAGUGGGAGGCCGGCCCCUAAAUUCAGUGGCGACCACGCUGUAGCCUCCCCUGCGUAGUACUAAAACCACCUCGCAGGCGGAGAGCGGUGCGGCCCGCCGUAAAACCCCCCAACUUUUACAAGGUCGACCUCAGAUCAGGUAGGAAUACCCGCUGAACUUAAGCAUAUCAAUAAGCGGAGGA
Molecule: unclassified non-coding RNA, 360 nt
Filed under: soil metagenome
Description: partial contains 5.8S ribosomal RNA, internal transcribed spacer 2, and large subunit ribosomal RNA
Rfam family: 5.8S ribosomal RNA (bases 1-120)
Source: RNAcentral